Molecule: long non-coding RNA, 1200 nt
Filed under: Ornithorhynchus anatinus (platypus)
Lineage: Eukaryota; Metazoa; Chordata; Mammalia; Monotremata; Ornithorhynchidae
Description: lncRNA (ENSOANG00000043016.1)
Source: RNAcentral
UUACUAUGUGCAGAGCACUGUUCUAAGCGCUGGGGUAGAUACAGGGUAAUCAGGUCGUCCCACGUGUGGCUCACGGUUAACCCCCAUUUUACGGAUGAGGUAACUGAGGCCCAGAGAAGUGAAGAGACUUGCCCACAGUCACACAGCUGACCAGUGGCAGAGCCGGGAGUCGAACCCAUGACCUCUGACUCCGAAGCCCAGGCUCUCGCCACUGAGCCACGCUAGAGCCCGGGUUUGGGAGUCAGAGGUCGUGAGUUCUAAUCCCGGCUCUGCCACUAAUCAGCUGUGUGGCUUUGGGCAAAUCACUUCACUUCCACUUCUCUGGGCCUCAGAUACCUCAUCUGGAAAAUGGAGAUGAAGACUGGGAGCCCCACGUGGGACAACCUGAUUACCUUGCAUCUACCCCGGGGCUUAGAACGGUGCUUGGCACAUAGUACGCCCUGAACGGAUGCCAUCAUCAUCAUCAUCAUCAUUAUUAUUAUUAUAGGAAAGUGCCUGUAUCUCUUUAGCUGACCUUGUCUUCCCCUCAGCAGGAAGCGGGCCCAAGGCAGAAACGCAGUCUCGAUUACUCCAAGACAUCCUGCCUUAUGCAUUUCAAGGCCGACUACUUGUUCUACAAGAGGUUUGGGAGCUUGGAAAUGGUGGUGGCUCAGGUGGCCAGCUACGUGAGAGCCGUGAAUGCCAUAUAUGAAAGCACCAACUUUGCCGGGAUCCGACACACAGAAUUCAAAGUGAAAACCUUACACGUGAGAGCAAGGCCUCCCCCCCCCCCCCCCCCCCAACGCCCCCGGGGACAGACAGGGAAACAGGGCAAGAUAAUUAUAAUAAUGAUGGCAUUUGUUAAGCGCUUACUAAGCGCCAAGCAGUGUUCUAAGCCCUGGGGUAGAUAUAAGGUGAUCAGGUUGUCCCACGUGGGGCUCACAGUCUUCAUCCCCAUUUUCCAGAUGAGGGUAACUGAGGCACAGAGAAGUUAAGUGACUUGCCCAAGGUCACACAGCAGACCCGUGAGAUGGGACUUGGAGGGUAGAAGGUAUGGGGGGCGUGGGGUUCUUCCUUUGGGCGGGGGGGGGGGGCCUCUGGAAUCAGCCCCUUCAUGGGGUUGGCAAUAGGGGAAGGGCCAAAAGUGGGGGUUCCUGUCCAUUGCAGUGGAGGAGGAAUUGGGUGAGUGGGGGAGGUCUUUCCUGGUCAUUAAGCUCACUU